RNAcentral lists this ribosomal RNA (253 nucleotides) under uncultured bacterium. Its description in RNAcentral is "partial 16S ribosomal RNA". It matches the Rfam family "Bacterial small subunit ribosomal RNA", at positions 524 to 776 of the family's 1533-position model. The record is from RNAcentral.
UACGGAGGGAGCUAGCGUUGUUCGGAAUUACUGGGCGUAAAGCGCACGUAGGCGGCUUUGUAAGUUAGAGGUGAAAGCCCGGGGCUCAACCCCGGAAUUGCCUUUAAGACUGCAUCGCUUGAAUCCAGGAGAGGUGAGUGGAAUUCCGAGUGUAGAGGUGAAAUUCGUAGAUAUUAGGAAGAACACCGGUGGCGAAGGCGGCCCACUGGUCCGGUACUGACGCUGAGGUGCGAAAGCGUGGGGAGCAAACAGG